CUCCCUAGAGGACUCUGGGGGGAACAGCUGCCUGGCCAGCAUCAUGUGUUCCAGACCCAACAUCCCAGAUGUGUUGUGGGACCACCGGAGGAAUGUUUGAAACCAGGGUCAUCCUGAAAAACCCAGGCCUGGGGUUUUCCAGGUCUCGGGUCGGGCUGAGCACAGAGGCUGUAAGGAAAGAGAUUCUUUAGAGUCA
Long non-coding RNA from Lemur catta (Ring-tailed lemur), 196 nucleotides. RefSeq lists it as uncharacterized. The transcript has 3 exons. NCBI's taxonomy places the organism in Eukaryota, Metazoa, Chordata, Mammalia, Primates, Lemuridae. The record is from RefSeq and is a predicted model, not a curated record.